AAAAUUCUCAGGACCCAUGAGAGAAAAAAGAGCAUUUCUUCUGCAGCUUUUUAGAGUUCUUGAAUAUGGACACUGGGAAGACAUGGUGAGCGAAGCAGAGCCUUCUCGGAGCCUUACGGUUUAGAAGUGGAGAUGGGCGUUGAUCAAAUAAUCGUCCAAAUAAUAUGCAAAAUUGCAACUGUGUUCUGGAGGCAAGAAGUCCAAGAUCAAGAUGUCAGCAGGGUUCCACAAAAUGGGGGAAAAUAUUUGCAAAUGAUGUGACCAACAAGGGAUUAAUCUCCAAAAUAUACAAAUAGCCCAUGCAGCUCUAUGUCAAAAAAACAAACAACCCAAUCAAAAAAUGGGCAGAAGACCUAAAUAGGCAUUUCUCCAAAGAAGACAUAGAGAUGGCCAAGAAGCAUAUGAAAAGAUGCUCAACAUCACUAAUUAUCAGAGAAAUGCAAAUCAAAACUCCAGUGAGGUAUCACCUCACACCAGUCAGAAUGGCCAUCAUCAAAAAGUCUACAAACAAUAAAUGCUGGGGAGGUUGUGGAGAAAAGUGAACCCUCCUACACUGUUGGUGGGUAUGUAAAUUGGUACAUCCCCUAUGGAGAACAGCAUGGAGGCUCCUUAAAAAACUUAAAAUAGAGCUACUGUAUGAUCCAGCAAUCCCACUCCUGGCAUACAUCCAGAGAAAACCAUAAUCCAAAAGGAUACAUGCACCCCAAUGUUUAUUACAGCGCUAUUUACAAUAGACAAGACAUGGAAGCAACCUAAAUAUCCAUUGACAGAGGAAUGGGUAAGGAAGAUGUGGUACAUAUAUACAAUGGAAUAUUACUUAGCCAUAAAAAAUAAUGAAAUAAUGCCAUU
Eubalaena glacialis (North Atlantic right whale) is the source of this 849-nucleotide long non-coding RNA. RefSeq lists it as uncharacterized. NCBI's taxonomy places the organism in Eukaryota, Metazoa, Chordata, Mammalia, Artiodactyla, Balaenidae. The record is from RefSeq and is a predicted model, not a curated record. The transcript is spliced from 3 exons.